GACGAACGCUGGCGGCGUGCUUAACACAUGCAAGUCGAACGGAAAGGCCCUGCUUUUGUGGGGUGCUCGAGUGGCGAACGGGUGAGUAACACGUGAGUAACCUGCCCUUGACUUUGGGAUAACUUCAGGAAACUGGGGCUAAUACCGGAUAGGAGCUCCUGCUGCAUGGUGGGGGUUGGAAAGUUUCGGCGGUUGGGGAUGGACUCGCGGCUUAUCAGCUUGUUGGUGGGGUAGUGGCUUACCAAGGCUUUGACGGGUAGCCGGCCUGAGAGGGUGACCGGCCACAUUGGGACUGAGAUACGGCCCAGACUCCUACGGGAGGCAGCAGUGGGGAAUAUUGCACAAUGGGCGGAAGCCUGAUGCAGCAACGCCGCGUGCGGGAUGACGGCCUUCGGGUUGUAAACCGCUUCCGCCUGUGACGAAGCGUGAGUGACGGUAAUGGGUAAAGAAGCACCGGCUAACUACGUGCCAGCAGCCGCGGUGAUACGUAGGGUGCGAGCGUUGUCCGGAUUUAUUGGGCGUAAAGGGCUCGUAGGUGGUUGAUCGCGUCGGAAGUGUAAUCUUGGGGCUUAACCCUGAGCGUGCUUUCGAUACGGGUUGACUUGAGGAAGGUAGGGGAGAAUGGAAUUCCUGGUGGAGCGGUGGAAUGCGCAGAUAUCAGGAGGAACACCAGUGGCGAAGGCGGUUCUCUGGGCCUUUCCUGACGCUGAGGAGCGAAAGCGUGGGGAGCGAACAGGCUUAGAUACCCUGGUAGUCCACGCUGUAAACGGUGGGUACUAGGUGUGGGGUCCAUUCCACGGGUUCCGUGCCGUAGCUAACGCUUUAAGUACCCCGCCUGGGGAGUACGGCCGCAAGGCUAAAACUCAAAGGAAUUGACGGGGCCCCGCACAAGCGGCGGAGCAUGCGGAUUAAUUCGAUGCAACGCGUAGAACCUUACCUGGGUUUGACAUGGAUCGGGAGUGCUCAGAGAUGGGUGUGCCUCUUUUGGGGUCGGUUCACAGGUGGUGCAUGCCUGUCGUCAGCUCGUGUCGUGAGAUGUUGGGUUAAGUCCCGCAACGAGCGCAACCCCUGUUCACUGUUGCCAGCACGUUAUGGUGGGGACUCAGUGGAGACCGCCGGGGUCAACUCGGAGGAAGGUGGGGAUGACGUCAAGUCAUCAUGCCCCUUAUGUCCAGGGCUUCACGCAUGCUACAAUGGCUGGUACAGAGAGUGGCGAGCCUGUGAGGGUGAGCGAAUCUCGGAAAGCCGGUCUCAGUUCGGAUUGGGGUCUGCAACUCGACCUCAUGAAGUCGGAGUCGCUAGUAAUCGCAGAUCAGCAACGCUGCGGUGAAUACGUUCCCGGGGCU
RNAcentral lists this ribosomal RNA (1346 nucleotides) under uncultured bacterium. RNAcentral's name for it is "partial 16S ribosomal RNA". It matches the Rfam family "Bacterial small subunit ribosomal RNA", at positions 28 to 1381 of the family's 1533-position model. The record is from RNAcentral.